Molecule: ribosomal RNA, 253 nt
Filed under: uncultured bacterium
Lineage: Bacteria
Description: partial 16S ribosomal RNA
Rfam family: Bacterial small subunit ribosomal RNA
Source: RNAcentral
UACGGAGGGUGCAAGCGUUAUCCGGAUUCACUGGGGUUAAAGGGUGCGUAGGAGGGCAGGUAAGUCAGUGGUGAAAUCUCCAAGCUUAACUUGGAAACUGCCGUUGAUACUAUCUGUCUUGAAUAUUGUGGAGGUGAGCGGAAUAUGUCAUGUAGCGGUGAAAUGCUUAGAUAUGACAUAGAACACCAAUUGCGAAGGCAGCUCGCUACACAUAUAUUGACUCUGAGGCACGAAAGCGUGGGGAUCAAACAGG